RNAcentral lists this ribosomal RNA (446 nucleotides) under uncultured bacterium. Its description in RNAcentral is "partial 16S ribosomal RNA". It matches the Rfam family "Bacterial small subunit ribosomal RNA", at positions 338 to 795 of the family's 1533-position model. The record is from RNAcentral.
CCUACGGGUGGCAGCAGUCGAGAAUUAUUCACAAUGGGGGCAACCCUGAUGGUGCGACGCCGCGUGAGGGAAUGAAGGUCUUCGGAUUGUAAACCCCUGUCAUGUGGGAGCAAACUAAUAAGAUAGUACCACAAGAGGAAGAGACGGCCAACUCUGUGCCAGCAGCCGCGGUAAUACCGAGGACCCAAGAGUUGUUCGGAAUCACUGGGCGUAAAGAGUGCGUAGGCUGUUUCGUAAGUCGGGUGUGAAAGGCGCGGGCGCAACCUGCGUACGGCACAUGAUACUGCGAGACUAGAGUACUGUAGGGGGAAGCGGAAUUCUCGGUGUAGCAGUGAAAUGCGUAGAUAUCGGGAGGAACACUCAUGGCGAAGGCGGGUUCCUGGACAUGAACUGACGCUGAGGCACGAAGGCCAGGGGAGCGAAAGGGAUUAGAUACCCUUGUAGUC